GUUGCAAUCAACCACAACAGGCCUUUUUCAGAUCAAGGUCCUUUUGACAUUGUUUUACAUAAGGUACAGAUUGUUCAUCAGUUCAGAUAUUCAGAAAGGAUUUUUAUCAAGAGAUUCGACUGAGGAAUUGUAAGAACUGAAACUACAAAAUCUGUGGGUACUGUUGCUAAGAUGCAGUUAAAGAUCUGUGGAGGAUGCUGAUGUUGUCUAUGCAGAUAUGCAACAUGCAGAGAAAGAAACAUGAUUGGAAAAUGCUUGUUGUUUUUUAAAGUGUGACUUGCAUCCUAAUAUGGGCCAUGUAUAAUCAGAAUCCUUCCUGUCCUCAGUGCAAGCAUCCGUUUCAGUUCCUCAGUGUUCAUCGAUCACCAGAUGGAAGCUCUCAUUGAAUCAGGAUAUCAUGGGGAAAGUGAGGGAUAGGUUGAGGAGUUGCUACCAUAAGGAUUUCGUCAUCGACGAAGAUAGCCAGUGGAUGCUUCAGGGGUGGAAGGGGCGGAUCAUUUAUGCACUUUCCACUUGGAAACUAGACCAUGAUAGCUUUUGAGUAUCAGAAAGCUUGCUUCUAGUUGUGUACUUGAAACAGGAACGCUCUUCCUGCUUCUCUGGUCCUAUGGCCGCUCGGAACAAAAUCAAAGGUACUUUUGAUCUGAUUUGCAAGAGCAAUUGGUCUUAAGCACAAACACUGCCUCAAUUUCCAACGAUGCAGAAGUCGAAUUCUCAUGAGAGUCCCAAAGCCAUGAGACUCUGGACAAUGACCUUGCAUUGAAAAUAUAUAUCAAGGCAAUGGCUACCCCAAAAGUUGUCGCUGCUUUUUCUGAACGAGAAGGGAGUUUGACAAAAUUCUCAUUUACUCAAAGCAGGUUGGAUACAUGCCUGAUUAUCUUUUCCUUCUGCAAACAAUUCUGAGAUCAGAUCCCCAGGAAUGUUGGAAAUAACCAUUUUACUGGCUGGAUUCCCCCCAGUUGAGAAAAUUAAACAAUAAUCUCCGGAUUGAUGGUAACUCAUGGAAAUGAUGCUCCUUUGGCUGUGAUGCUCCGAUCCGAGAGAAAAUAGUCACGUGGAAGGGGACCUUACUGAAACAGUUCAUGUGGAAGGCUAUGUGACAGCCUGUUUGUUUUGAAAACUUUAAAUAGACCAUUAAUUGUUUUGU
This is a long non-coding RNA of Magnolia sinica, 1147 nucleotides long. RefSeq lists it as uncharacterized. The record is from RefSeq and is a predicted model, not a curated record. The transcript has 10 exons. Lineage: Eukaryota; Viridiplantae; Streptophyta; Magnoliopsida; Magnoliales; Magnoliaceae.